UUUCGUGGCCGAGCCACUCCGACCAAACACCACGUGGCACGCGUCCGAGUUGCACGUGCAUUCGCGGAGCUGCGGGAGCCCGGUGCGCGCGCGAGAACGGGCGCUUGCGAGAGAGCUUGCGAAGGGGUCGAAUCCCUCUGUGUCUCCUCCCCUCUCUCUUUCUCUUUAUUCUCCUUUGAUUGCUCUUUAUACCUUGCGACGCGUUUCAUAUAAAUGACUGAUCGAGUCAUUGUCAUGUUGCACUAUUGUGACGUGAAGAUUUAAUUGUGCUUUGAGAAACCUGCUGAGAUCGACGUCUUUCAUCUUCACUGAUAAUCAAGAGUUACUGGCAAAGACGAAGAUUUCAACGAGUUACGGACGAGGCGAUAAAAUGACUAUGGAUGGGAGCAAGAGCGAACCGGGCAAGAACGGGGCCACUCAACAGGAAUGCGCGGGUUGCGGAAAGGCGAUUACGGAGAGAUAUCUACUGAAAGCAUUGGACAUGUAUUGGCACGAGGACUGCUUGAAAUGCGGCUGCUGCGACUGCAGGCUUGGCGAAGUUGGCUCGACGCUUUACACCAAAGCUAAUCUCAUCCUCUGCAAGAGAGAUUAUCUACGGCUCUUCGGAAAUACCGGUCACUGCGCGGCGUGCAGCAAAGUCAUCCCAGCUUUCGAGAUGGUGAUGCGCGCAAGGACCAAUGUUUAUCACUUGGAGUGCUUCGCUUGUCAGCAGUGCAAUCACAGAUUUUGCGUGGGCGACAGAUUUUAUCUCUGUGAUAACAAGAUCCUCUGCGAGUACGAUUACGAGGAGAGAUUGGUUUUCGCCAAUAUGGCUUUACAUCCGCCGCCAACCGCGACCCUGGCACACAUCAAGAGACAAGUGACGCACCUUCAGCCGCAGCUAGAGUUAUAAUCUAGACAAGGACACGAGUCACUAACCAGAAUUUGUUAACUAAGGCGGUCAGUGCGAUUCACCUUCUGUGAACGUAGCGGGCGGCCCUCAGCGGCAGGCGAACGGGGAAGCGGCGGCCCAUAACCACAACGGAUAUCCACCGCCAGCCAGCACGAGCGCCCAUAACGUCCUGAACCCCA
RNAcentral lists this unclassified non-coding RNA (1071 nucleotides) under Monomorium pharaonis (pharaoh ant). Its description in RNAcentral is "lIM domain only protein 3, transcript variant X2". Lineage: Eukaryota; Metazoa; Arthropoda; Insecta; Hymenoptera; Formicidae. The record is from RNAcentral.